Molecule: ribosomal RNA, 503 nt
Filed under: uncultured bacterium
Lineage: Bacteria
Description: partial 16S ribosomal RNA
Rfam family: Bacterial small subunit ribosomal RNA
Source: RNAcentral
AUUGAACGCUGGCGGCAGGCUUAACACAUGCAAGUCGAGCGGGGUGAUGGUGCUUGCACUAUCACUUAGCGGCGGACGGGUGGGUAAUGCUUAGGAAUCUGCCUAUUAGUGGGGGACAACAUCUCGAAAGGGAUGCUAAUACCGCAUACGUCCUACGGGAGAAAGCAGGGGAUCACUUGUGACCUUGCGCUAAUAGAUGAGCCUAAGUCGGAUUAGCUAGUUGGUGGGGUAAAGGCCUACCAAGGCGACGAUAUGUAGCGGGUCUGAGAGGAUGAUCCGCCACACUGGGACUGAGAAACGGCCCAGACUCCUACGGGAGGCAGCAGUGGGGAAUAUUGGACAAUGGGGGGAACCCUGAUCCAGCCAUGCCGCGUGUGUGAAGAAGGCCUUAUGGUUGUAAGGCACUUUAAGCGAGGAGGAGGCUCUUUUGGUUAAUACCCAAGAUGAGUGGACGUUACUCGCAGAAUAAGCACCGGCUAACUCUGUGCCAGCCGCCGCAGUAA